Non-coding RNA from Nipponia nippon (crested ibis), 46 nucleotides. The record is from Rfam. NCBI's taxonomy places the organism in Eukaryota, Metazoa, Chordata, Aves, Pelecaniformes, Threskiornithidae.
ACAAAGGCUCUUUUCAGAGCCACCCACCAGUUUCACAACGGGAGCU